UUUUGCCUUUUUAGUGUUAGAGCAUGGCAUGCUGAAGUUAGUUUAGACCUAAGGAAUCGCCUUAUUAAAAAAAUAGUUGAAACAAUAUAUCCAGUUCCUAAUCCAAACAGUAUGCAUGAUAGUAGAGUGAAGAGCCUAUUCCAGUUUGCAGUGAAAGUUGAGAAUAUGAUGUUUGAGAAUGCAAGCAGUAGGGAGGAUUAUUAUCAGAAACUAGCA
Molecule: long non-coding RNA, 216 nt
Organism: Amphimedon queenslandica
Lineage: Eukaryota; Metazoa; Porifera; Demospongiae; Haplosclerida; Niphatidae
Exons: 3
Source: RefSeq, a predicted model, not a curated record